UAGGGAAUCUUCCGCAAUGGACGAAAGUCUGACGGAGCAACGCCGCGUGAGUGAUGAAGGUUUUCGGAUCGUAAAGCUCUGUUGUUAGGGAAGAACAAGUGCCGUUCGAAUAGGUCGGCACCUUGACGGUACCUAACCAGAAAGCCACGGCUAACUACGUGCCAGCAGCCGCGGUAAUACGUAGGUGGCAAGCGUUGUCCGGAUUUAUUGGGCGUAAAGCGCGCGCAGGCGGUCUUUUAAGUCUGAUGUGAAAUCUCGCGGCUCAACCGUGAACGGUCAUUGGAAACUGGAAGACUUGAGUACAGAAGAGGAGAGUGGAAUUCCACGUGUAGCGGUGAAAUGCGUAGAUAUGUGGAGGAACACCAGUGGCGAAGGCGACUCUCUGGUCUGUAACUGACGCUGAGGCGCGAAAGCGUGGGGAGCGAACAG
RNAcentral lists this ribosomal RNA (429 nucleotides) under uncultured bacterium. RNAcentral describes it as "bacterial SSU rRNA". It matches the Rfam family "Bacterial small subunit ribosomal RNA", at positions 355 to 775 of the family's 1533-position model. The record is from RNAcentral.